Molecule: ribosomal RNA, 377 nt
Filed under: uncultured bacterium
Lineage: Bacteria
Description: bacterial SSU rRNA
Rfam family: Bacterial small subunit ribosomal RNA
Source: RNAcentral
UACGUAGGGUGCAAGCGUUGUCCGGAUUUAUUGGGCGUAAAGAGCUCGUAGGCGGUCUGUUACGUCGGUUGUGAAAACUCGGGGCUUAACCCCGAGCCUGCAUCCGAUACGGGCAGACUUGAGUGUGGUAGGGGAGACUGGAAUUCCUGGUGUAGCGGUGAAAUGCGCAGAUAUCAGGAGGAACACCGAUGGCGAAGGCAGGUCUCUGGGCCACAACUGACGCUGAGGAGCGAAAGCGUGGGGAGCAAACAGGAUUAGAUACCCUGGUAGUCCACGCCGUAAACGGUGGGCGCUAGGUGUGGGGAACAUUCCACGUUCUCCGUGCCGCAGCUAACGCAUUAAGCGCCCCGCCUGGGGAGUACGGCCGCAAGGCUAAA